Molecule: ribosomal RNA, 136 nt
Filed under: uncultured eukaryote
Lineage: Eukaryota
Description: partial 18S ribosomal RNA
Rfam family: Eukaryotic small subunit ribosomal RNA
Source: RNAcentral
UCGUGGAGCGAUUUGUCUGGUUUAUUCCGAUAACGAGCGAGACUCUAGCCUACUAAAUAGUCUGCACAUUGCUAUUGUGUGUAGUACUUCUUAGAGGGAUUUUCGGUUUACAGCCGCACGAAAUUGAGCAAUAACA